This 795-nucleotide ribosomal RNA is filed under the name uncultured archaeon. RNAcentral's name for it is "bacterial SSU rRNA". It matches the Rfam family "Archaeal small subunit ribosomal RNA", at positions 85 to 879 of the family's 1478-position model. The record is from RNAcentral.
ACUGCUCAGUAACACGUGGAUAACCUGCCCUUGGGUCCGGCAUAACCCCGGGAAACUGGGGAUAAUUCUGGAUAACGCAUAUAUGCUGGAAUGCUUUCUGCGUCAAAUGGAUUCGUCUGCCAAGGAUGGGUCUGCGGCCUAUCAGGUAGUAGUGGGUGUAAUGUACCUACUAGCCUACGACGGGUACGGGUUGUGAGAGCAAGAGCCCGGAGAUGGAUUCUGAGACAUGAAUCCAGGCCCUACGGGGCGCAGCAGGCGCGAAAACUUUACAAUGCGGGAAACCGUGAUAAGGGGACACCGAGUGCCAGCGUCAUACGCUGGCUGUCCAGGUGUGUAAAAUACACCUGAUAGCAAGGGCCGGGCAAGACCGGUGCCAGCCGCCGCGGUAACACCGGCGGCCCGAGUGGUAAUCGUGAUUAUUGGGUCUAAAGGGUCCGUAGCCUGUUUGGUCAGUCCUCCGGGAAAUCUGACAGCUUAACUGUUAGGCUUUCGGCGGAUACUGCCAGACUUGGAACCGGGAGAGGUAAGAGGUACUACAGGGGUAGGAGUGAAAUCUUGUAAUCCCUGUGGGACCACCUGUGGCGAAGGCGUCUUACCAGAACGGGUUCGACGGUGAGGGACGAAAGCUGGGGGCACGAACCGGAUUAGAUACCCGGGUAGUCCCAGCCGUAAACGAUGCUCGCUAGGUGUCAGGCAUGGCGCGACCGUGUCUGGUGCCGCAGGGAAGCCGUGAAGCGAGCCACCUGGGAAGUACGGCCGCAAGGCUGAAACUUAAAGGAAUUGGCGGGGGAGCAC